ACCCGCUGAACUUAAGCAUAUCAAUAAGCGGAGGAAAAGAAACCAACAGGGAUUGCCCUAGUAACGGCGAGUGAAGCGGCAACAGCUCAAAUUUGAAAUCUGGCGUCUUUGGCGUCCGAGUUGUAAUUUGCAGAGGGCGCUUUGGCAUUGGCAGCGGUCCAAGUUCCUUGGAACAGGACGUCACAGAGGGUGAGAAUCCCGUACGUGGUCGCUAGCCUUUACCGUGUAAAGCCCCUUCGACGAGUCGAGUUGUUUGGGAAUGCAGCUCUAAAUGGGAGGUAAAUUUCUUCUAAAGCUAAAUACUGGCCAGAGACCGAUAGCGCACAAGUAGAGUGAUCGAAAGAUGAAAAGCACUUUGGAAAGAGAGUUAAAAAGCACGUGAAAUUGUUGAAAGGGAAGCGCUUGCAGCCAGACUUGCCUGUAGUUGCUCAUCCGGGUUUUUACCCGGUGCACUCUUCUAUAGGCAGGCCAGCAUCAGUUUGGGCGGUUGGAUAAAGGUCUCUGUCAUGUACCUCUCUUCGGGGAGAACUUAUAGGGGAGACGACAUGCAACCAGCCCGGACUGAGGUCCGCGCAUUUGCUAGGAUGCUGGCGUAAUGGCUGU
RNAcentral lists this ribosomal RNA (603 nucleotides) under uncultured fungus. RNAcentral describes it as "eukaryotic LSU rRNA". It matches the Rfam family "Eukaryotic large subunit ribosomal RNA", at positions 23 to 641 of the family's 3401-position model. The record is from RNAcentral. Lineage: Eukaryota; Fungi.